This 117-nucleotide transfer RNA is filed under the name Candidatus Woesearchaeota archaeon. Its description in RNAcentral is "tRNA-Thr". It matches the Rfam family "tRNA". Rfam says of the family: Transfer RNA (tRNA) molecules are approximately 80 nucleotides in length. Their secondary structure includes four short double-helical elements and three loops (D, anti-codon, and T loops). Further hydrogen bonds mediate the characteristic L-shaped molecular structure. tRNAs have two regions of fundamental functional importance: the anti-codon, which is responsible for specific mRNA codon recognition, and the 3' end, to which the tRNAs corresponding amino acid is attached (by aminoacyl-tRNA synthetases). tRNAs cope with the degeneracy of the genetic code in two manners: having more than one tRNA (with a specific anti-codon) for a particular amino acid; and 'wobble' base-pairing, i.e. permitting non-standard base-pairing at the 3rd anti-codon position. Lineage: Archaea; Nanobdellati; Candidatus Woesearchaeota. The record is from RNAcentral.
GCCCCGGUGGCUUAGUGGCUAUAGCACCUGACUUGUAAUCAGGAGGUCGCGAGUUCAAAUAUUGGCGCCCGAAGCGACAAUGCUUCGAACGCUAGUGAGAAUGUCUCGCCCGGGGCU